AAAUUGAAGAGUUUGAUCAUGGCUCAGAUUGAACGCUGGCGGCAGGCCUAACACAUGCAAGUCGAGCGGUAGCACAGGGGAGCUUGCUCCCUGGGUGACGAGCGGCGGACGGGUGAGUAAUGUCUGGGAAACUGCCUGAUGGAGGGGGAUAACUACUGGAAACGGUAGCUAAUACCGCAUAACGUCGCAAGACCAAAGAGGGGGACCUUCGGGCCUCUUGCCAUCAGAUGUGCCCAGAUGGGAUUAGCUAGUAGGUGGGGUAACGGCUCACCUAGGCGACGAUCCCUAGCUGGUCUGAGAGGAUGACCAGCCACACUGGAACUGAGACACGGUCCAGACUCCUACGGGAGGCAGCAGUGGGGAAUAUUGCACAAUGGGCGCAAGCCUGAUGCAGCCAUGCCGCGUGUAUGAAGAAGGCCUUCGGGUUGUAAAGUACUUUCAGCGAGGAGGAAGGCGGUGAGGUUAAUAACCUCAUCGAUUGACGUUACUCGCAGAAGAAGCACCGGCUAACUCCGUGCCAGCAGCCGCGGUAAUACGGAGGGUGCAAGCGUUAAUCGGAAUUACUGGGCGUAAAGCGCACGCAGGCGGUCUGUCAAGUCGGAUGUGAAAUCCCCGGGCUCAACCUGGGAACUGCAUUCGAAACUGGCAGGCUAGAGUCUUGUAGAGGGGGGUAGAAUUCCAGGUGUAGCGGUGAAAUGCGUAGAGAUCUGGAGGAAUACCGGUGGCGAAGGCGGCCCCCUGGACAAAGACUGACGCUCAGGUGCGAAAGCGUGGGGAGCAAACAGGAUUAGAUACCCUGGUAGUCCACGCCGUAAACGAUGUCGACUUGGAGGUUGUUCCCUUGAGGAGUGGCUUCCGGAGCUAACGCGUUAAGUCGACCGCCUGGGGAGUACGGCCGCAAGGUUAAAACUCAAAUGAAUUGACGGGGGCCCGCACAAGCGGUGGAGCAUGUGGUUUAAUUCGAUGCAACGCGAAGAACCUUACCUACUCUUGACAUCCAGAGAACUUAGCAGAGAUGCUUGGGUGCCUUCGGGAACUCUGAGACAGGUGCUGCAUGGCUGUCGUCAGCUCGUGUUGUGAAAUGUUGGGUUAAGUCCCGCAACGAGCGCAACCCUUAUCCUUUGUUGCCAGCGGUUAGGCCGGGAACUCAAAGGAGACUGCCAGUGAUAAACUGGAGGAAGGUGGGGAUGACGUCAAGUCAUCAUGGCCCUUACGAGUAGGGCUACACACGUGCUACAAUGGCGCAUACAAAGAGAAGCGACCUCGCGAGAGCAAGCGGACCUCAUAAAGUGCGUCGUAGUCCGGAUUGGAGUCUGCAACUCGACUCCAUGAAGUCGGAAUCGCUAGUAAUCGUAGAUCAGAAUGCUACGGUGAAUACGUUCCCGGGCCUUGUACACACCGCCCGUCACACCAUGGGAGUGGGUUGCAAAAGAAGUAGGUAGCUUAACCUUCGGGAGGGCGCUUACCACUUUGUGAUUCAUGACUGGGGUGAAGUCGUAACAAGGUAACCGUAGGGGAACCUGCGGUUGGAUCACCUCCUUA
RNAcentral lists this ribosomal RNA (1542 nucleotides) under Actinomyces sp. RNAcentral describes it as "16S ribosomal RNA". It matches the Rfam family "Bacterial small subunit ribosomal RNA". The record is from RNAcentral. Lineage: Bacteria; Bacillati; Actinomycetota; Actinomycetes; Actinomycetales; Actinomycetaceae.